This 731-nucleotide long non-coding RNA is filed under the name Dasypus novemcinctus (nine-banded armadillo). RNAcentral describes it as "lncRNA (ENSDNOG00000052939.1)". Lineage: Eukaryota; Metazoa; Chordata; Mammalia; Cingulata; Dasypodidae. The record is from RNAcentral.
AUGGCGUGGAGGAGCCGCGGGCAGGCCCUGGAGGCAGAGCGGGCCCGGCUGCUGGGGGAGAAGUCGGUGCUGCUGGCAGCACUGGGGGUGGCCCCAGGCCAGGAGGCCUGCACACCCCAGGUCCAGGAGGUACCAGUGACCCUCAGGAGGGAGCUGGAAGCAGGAGACUCACACCCCCGGCUGCAUGCAGAGGCCGCUGAGUACUGGAAGGCACGCCGGCACCAGGUGGCCGUUGCCCUGAAAUUUAAAGAGGAGGAACUGCAGAGGCUCCAGAGGCAGGGUGGGGUCUGGCCUCCCCAGGCCCCCCAGAGGCCAGCCCAGGACUCAGCUGGGCCAAGGGCUUCUGUGAGCAGGAAGAUGGGGCAGCAGCUGGAGAGGGGCCCGCCGAAGCCGCAGCUCCGUGGACAGCCGCCCGCGGGGGCACACAGCCCUGCGGAGACCCCAGGCCGGCGCCCAGAGUCUGUGAGUGGAAGCCCCCAAGAGCUGCCAGAGUGGAGGCCUGCAGGGGAGCCGGAGUCUCCAGGGCCAGCUCUGCCAGCGGCUGAGGGGAGAGCUCAGGGACAGGCUGGGGUGCAGCUGCCACGGCCACCACCAGAGGUGAGAGAUGGCCUUGGAGAGCGGUGGCCCUCCCUGAGAUCAAGCUGGGGCCUGCGGCUGGAGGGGGAGCUGGCAGGCAGAGGAUGCAGCUCUGGUGUCCCUCUGCCAUGUGGAUCUGCCCUCUGAGGCCACAU